UUUUUGGACUCAAGCUAUCAACACAACUUGUUAUACCCAAAAUUGGUCUAUCAUUAUUAAGCGUCAUGGGAAAACUACCUAUUAGCUACNGGUCUUCUUUGCUUUUUGGACUCAAGCUGUCAACACAACUUGUUAUACCCAAAAUUGGUCUAUCAUUAUUAAGCGUCAUGGGAAAACUACCUAUUAGCUACUUAAGGGAAGGAAAACUAGACAUCUCUUAUUUUCAUGUGUAUGGGUGUGUUUGUUACAUUUUUAGUCAAAGAGACCAAUGCUCAAAGUUUGAAGAUAAAGCUGAUGAAGGACUGUUUCUAGGUAAUUCCAAUAUAUCCAAUGCUUUCAACAUUUUCAAUCUUUGAAAGAAAACAAUUGAGGAAACUACUUAUGUCACUUUCGAUGAAGACUCAUUUAUUCAUUAUCAGGUUGAUCAUAUCUCAUCAAUUCUAAAUUAACUUACUUAAAGUCGUUCAGACCCUGUCCCUAAUUU
RNAcentral lists this long non-coding RNA (484 nucleotides) under Lactuca sativa (garden lettuce). RNAcentral describes it as "long non-coding RNA (LSAT_LNC008660)". Lineage: Eukaryota; Viridiplantae; Streptophyta; Magnoliopsida; Asterales; Asteraceae. The record is from RNAcentral.